RNAcentral lists this non-coding RNA (74 nucleotides) under Streptomyces xiamenensis. Lineage: Bacteria; Bacillati; Actinomycetota; Actinomycetes; Kitasatosporales; Streptomycetaceae. The record is from RNAcentral.
ACGGAGCCCCCGGUCAGUCAGGUGGGCUCCCGGACGAGGGGUGCCGUACCCGGUGUGCGACAAGACGGCCCGCA